UCUACGGGUGGCAGCAGUGAGGAAUAUUGGUCAAUGGACGCAAGCCUGAACCAGCCAUGCCGCGUGCAGGAUGACGGCUCUACGAGUCGUAAACUGCUUUUGUACGGGGAUAAAACCCGCUACGUGUAUCGGUUUGCAGGUAUCGUACGAAUAAGGAUCGGCUAAUUCCGUGCCAGCAGCCGCGGUAAUACGGAGGAUGCGAGCGUUAUCCGGAUUUAUUGGGUUUAAAGGGUGCGUAGGCGGGUGUUUAAGUUAGUGGUUAAACGGCGCGGCUUCACCUUGCUUUGCCAUUAAUACUGUACGACUCGAGUUCAGAAGAGGCAGGCGGAAUAAGUUGAGUAGCGGUGAAAUGCUUAGAUAUAACGUAGAACCCCGAUAGCGAAGGCAGCUUACCGGACUGCGACUGACGCUGAGGCACGAGGGCGUGGGUAGCGAACAGGAUUAGAUACCCUGGUAGUC
RNAcentral lists this ribosomal RNA (459 nucleotides) under uncultured bacterium. RNAcentral's name for it is "partial 16S ribosomal RNA". It matches the Rfam family "Bacterial small subunit ribosomal RNA", at positions 338 to 795 of the family's 1533-position model. The record is from RNAcentral.